Molecule: ribosomal RNA, 465 nt
Filed under: uncultured bacterium
Lineage: Bacteria
Description: bacterial SSU rRNA
Rfam family: Bacterial small subunit ribosomal RNA
Source: RNAcentral
AUUGAACGCUGGCGGCAUGCCUUACACAUGCAAGUCGAACGGCAGCACGGGAGCAAUCCUGGUGGCGAGUGGCGAACGGGUGAGUAAUAUAUCGGAACGUGCCCAGUCGUGGGGGAUGACGUAGCGAAAGCUACGCUAAUACCGCAUACGAUCUAUGGAUGAAAGCGGGGGAUCGCAAGACCUCGCGCGAUUGGAGCGGCCGAUAUCAGAUUAGGUAGUUGGUGGGGUAAAAGCCUACCAAGCCUUCGAUCUGUAGCUGGUCUGAGAGGACGACCAGCCACACUGGAACUGAGACACGGUCCAGACUCCUACGGGAGGCAGCAGUGGGGAAUUUUGGACAAUGGGCGCAAGCCUGAUCCAGCAAUGCCGCGUGCAGGAUGAAGGCCUUCGGUUGUAAACUGCUUUGUUACGGACGAAACGGCUCUUUCUAAUAAAGGGAGCUAAUGACGGUACCGUAAGAAUAAG